AGUCUGGUUUCUUUCUGGGUGAUUACAUACCUGAACACUUUAAGGACACCAACCAGCGCCAUUCUUUUUUUUAUCCCUUUUGUAGUCCAUUGUCCUAUGGAACAAUGGCAAAGAAGGGAUUCUGUUGAAAGAAAGGUUGGACUUAAACCUUUUAAACUUAAUUCUUUAUGUUUUUUUUUUCCUAGUAACAUGACUUAAUGUUUCUGAAUGAUGAAUUAUGGUAUUUAGUAUUACUGUGGAGUAUACAGCCCUCUUGACUUCAUAAUCUGGUGAAGAAAGCUUGUCUCAUAUAAUAUAGAUCAUGUUGAGGACAUUUCUAGGUCCUUUCUUGAGGACAAUGAGUAACAUUGCCACAUAACCACUUGAAGUGUAGCUAAAGGUUGUUGAUAUUACCUCAGUGACCAGAGCCACUAUCAAUGUCCUGGUCUGCCUAAAAAUGACAUGCAUAAAAUGUGAUGAUUUAUGAGAAUUCUAUAGUCAGGAAAAAAUCCAGACUCCCUAUAGGCAAGAUCAUAUUGUGUCAUCCAUCCACUUUUACCUAGUCCUCAACUCUGAUAAUAUAGCUGACAAAAUGGUAAGUGGGUAUGUGGUUAUGAACAAAGAUUCCCCUUGGCUUAUCUCUAUGAAAUAGGUUGUUUCUGUACCCAUGACCAUUUAAUAUUUCUUUUGUUGAGUGAUGCAUAUUUUUUGGUUAUUCUAAUAGUUAAUUUUUUUUUUAAAUUUAUGCAGUUAGCUAGGAAUUCUCUAUACAGUGUUGAGAGUUCAAAAAUCCCUAGCCAUUUGGUUAGCAUUUUGAUUAAAAAAGACUUCUUAUUGUCAUUAUAAAAAUGGCAGGAGAGGUAGAUCAUUGCUAACUCAACUUGAAUCCUCUAGCAGUGUAUAUGGAAAAGGCAUUUGUUUUAAUUCUAUAAAUUGGUUUUUAUUAAAAAUCUGCUUUGUGCAAACCACUAUUUUGAGUGUUGAGAGGGAUGCAAAGAUAUGAGGGAAUGUCUUAACCAGCACAUUUUUAGCUGGCAUUCACCAAUAACUAUAUACCAGCAAACAAUUGAUUUGUACCAGCAAAGUUGGUGAGUCACAUAUUUGCCAAUUUGGGCCUCUAUACUAAGACUAAAUAUUUUAGGAGGAGAAAUUCAGCUGAUCGUCUAUUUUGAUUACAUAUGGCAUAUGACUUUAGGUUUGAAAAUUCCAAUUCAGCUUGGACAAGGUACCUCCCUUGACCUUAUUAUUGAAAAGUUUUCUUUUUCACACAUCUGCAUGACCACCGAGUCCAUUCAGCAAUGAACAGACAUUAGUUGAUAGUCAUAUAUGAUUUCAUUGAUGUGAUAAUGAAUUGUGUAUUUGGUAUUUUGGGUUUUAGGUUGG
RNAcentral lists this long non-coding RNA (1362 nucleotides) under Sarcophilus harrisii (Tasmanian devil). Its description in RNAcentral is "lncRNA (ENSSHAG00000026859.1)". Lineage: Eukaryota; Metazoa; Chordata; Mammalia; Dasyuromorphia; Dasyuridae. The record is from RNAcentral.